AGAGUUUGAUCCUGGCUCAGAGCGAACGCUGGCGGCAGGCCUAAUACAUGCAAGUCGAAACGGGUCUCUUCGGAGGCAGUGGCGGACGGGUGAGUAACGCGUGGGAACGUGCCCUUUGGUACGGAACAACUGAGGGAAACUUCAGCUAAUACCGUAUGUGCCCUUCGGGGGAAAGAUUUAUCGCCAUUGGAGCGGCCCGCGUUGGAUUAGCUAGUUGGUGGGGUAAUGGCCCACCAAGGCGACGAUCCAUAGCUGGUCUGAGAGGAUGAUCAGCCACACUGGGACUGAGACACGGCCCAGACUCCUACGGGAGGCAGCAGUAGGGAAUCUUGCGCAAUGGGCGAAAGCCUGACGCAGCCAUGCCGCGUGAAUGAUGAAGGUCUUAGGAUUGUAAAAUUCUUCACCGGGGACGAUAAUGACGGUACCCGGAGAAGAAGCCCCGGCUAACUUCGUG
RNAcentral lists this ribosomal RNA (454 nucleotides) under uncultured bacterium. RNAcentral's name for it is "bacterial SSU rRNA". It matches the Rfam family "Bacterial small subunit ribosomal RNA", at positions 8 to 507 of the family's 1533-position model. The record is from RNAcentral.